This 440-nucleotide ribosomal RNA is filed under the name uncultured bacterium. RNAcentral describes it as "bacterial SSU rRNA". It matches the Rfam family "Bacterial small subunit ribosomal RNA", at positions 338 to 795 of the family's 1533-position model. The record is from RNAcentral.
CCUACGGGAGGCAGCAGUGGGGAAUAUUGCACAAUGGGCGCAAGCCUGAUGCAGCGACGCCGCGUGAGCGAUGAAGGCCUUCGGGUCGUAAAGCUCUGUCCUAAGGGAAGAAUAAUGACGGUACCUUAGGAGGAAGCCCCGGCUAACUACGUGCCAGCAGCCGCGGUAAUACGUAGGGGGAGAGCGUGAUCCGGAAACAUUGGGCGUAAAGGGUGCGUAGGCGGCCCUGCAAGUCAGGAGUUAAAUCUCUCGGCUCAACCGAGGUUAGAUCGUGAAACUGUAGGGGUUGAGUGCAGGUGAGGGGAUCGGCAUUCCUAGUGUGGCUGUGGAAUGCGUAGAUAUUAGGAGGAACGCCAGUGGCGAAGGCGGCUCUCUGGACUGCAACUGACGCUGAGGCACGAAAGCGUGGGGAGCGAACAGGAUUAGAUACCCUAGUGGUC